CUAAGAAUCUUGCGCAAUGGGCGAAAGCCUGACGCAGCAACGCCGCGUGGAGGACGAAGGCCUUCGGGUCGUAAACUCCUUUUGCGAGGGAAGAAGAUCUGACGGUACCUCGCGAAUAAGCCACGGCUAACUACGUGCCAGCAGCCGCGGUAAUACGUAGGUGGCAAGCGUUGUCCGGAUUUACUGGGCGUAAAGAGCCCGCAGGCGGUCCAAUAAGUUCUUGGUGAAAUCUCCUGGCUCAACUGGGAGGGUGCCUGGAAAACUGUUGGACUUGAGGCAGGGAGAGGGAUGUGGAAUUCCCGGUGUAGUGGUGAAAUGCGUAGAUAUCGGGAGGAACACCAGUGGCGAAGGCGGCAUCCUGGCCCUGUCCUGACGCUCAGGGGCGAAAGCGUGGGGAGCAAACCGGAUUAGAUACCCACGUAGUCCCUGAGCGGGCUGGCAAGGCGCAU
Molecule: ribosomal RNA, 449 nt
Filed under: uncultured bacterium
Lineage: Bacteria
Description: bacterial SSU rRNA
Rfam family: Bacterial small subunit ribosomal RNA
Source: RNAcentral